AGAAUGAACGCUGGCGGCGUGCUUUACACAUGCAAGUCGAGCGAGGCGGGUAGCAAUACCCAGUCGAGCGGCGAACGGGUGAGUAACGCGUGGAUGACCUGCCUUGAGGUGGGGGAUAACGUCGGGGGAAACUCGAGCUAAUACCGCAUAUGACCGUGAGGUCAAAGGGGGCGCAAGCUCCCGCCAUGAGAGGGGUCCGCGUCCGAUUAGCUAGUUGGUGGGGUAAUGGCCUACCAAGGCGACGAUCGGUAGCCGGCCUGAGACGGGGUGAGUCGGACCGACACGUGGAACUGACGACACGGUCCAGACUCCGUACGGGAGCAGCGAGUGGGGUAAUUUGCGUACGAAGUGGGCUAACGGCCUAGACGCGAGCAACGCCGCGUGGAGGAGUGAGGUUCUUGGAUUAGUAAACGUCCU
RNAcentral lists this ribosomal RNA (417 nucleotides) under uncultured soil bacterium. Its description in RNAcentral is "bacterial SSU rRNA". It matches the Rfam family "Bacterial small subunit ribosomal RNA", at positions 26 to 435 of the family's 1533-position model. The record is from RNAcentral.